RNAcentral lists this ribosomal RNA (474 nucleotides) under uncultured bacterium. RNAcentral's name for it is "bacterial SSU rRNA". It matches the Rfam family "Bacterial small subunit ribosomal RNA", at positions 75 to 520 of the family's 1533-position model. The record is from RNAcentral.
GGUGCUUGCACUGUUCCCUGAAAGCGGCGAACGGGUGAGUAACACGUGAGUUACCUGCCCCUCGGUGAGGGAUAACGUCGGUUCUUCGGAACCUAGCGAAAGCGGCGCUAAUACCUCAUGAGAACUACGGUUGAAAGCGGGGGACUCCUUCGGGGGCCUCGCGCCGGGGGAUGGGCUCGCGCCCGAUUAGCUUGUUGGCGGGGUAACGGCCCACCAAGGCGACGAUCGGUAGCUGGCCUGAGAGGGUGGUCAGCCACACUGGGAUUGAGAUACGGCCCAGACUCCUACGGGAGGCAGCAGUCUAGAAGCUUGGACAAUGGGGGAAACCCUGAUCCAGCGACGCCGCGUGGGGGAUGAAGGCCCUCGGGUUGUAAACCCCUUUUAGUGGGAAAGAAAGGUUGGGGUGCCAAUACCACCUCUUCUUGACGGUACCCACAGAAGAAGCCCCGGCUAACUCCGUGCCAGCAGCCGCGG